AGAGUUUGAUCAUGGCUCAGAACGAACGCUGGCGGCAGGCCUAAUACAUGCAAGUCGAACGCCCGUAGCAAUACGGGAGUGGCAGACGGGUGAGUAACGCGUGGGAAUCUACCCAGUGGUACGAAACAACCAAGGGAAACUUUGGCUAAUACCGUAUACGCCCUUCGGGGGAAAGAUUUAUCGCCAUUGGAUGAGCCCGCGUCGGAUUAGCUAGUUGGUAGGGUAAUGGCCUACCAAGGCGACGAUCCGUAGCUGGUCUGAGAGGAUGAUCAGCCACACUGGGACUGAGACACGGCCCAGACUCCUACGGGAGGCAGCAGUAGGGAAUAUUGGACAAUGGGCGAAAGCCUGAUCCAGCCAUGCCGCGUGAGUGAUGAAGGCCCUAGGGUUGUAAAGCUCUUUCGGCGGGGAAGAUAAUGACGGUACCCGCAGAAGAAGCCCCGGCUAACUUCGUGCCAGCAGCCGCGGUAAUACGAAGGGGGCUAGCGUUGUUCGGAAUCACUGGGCGUAAAGCGCGCGUAGGCGGAUUGUUAAGUCAGGGGUGAAAUGCCGAGGCUCAACCUCGGAACUGCCUUUGAUACUGGCAAUCUUGAGUCCGGGAGAGGUGAGUGGAACUCCUAGUGUAGAGGUGAAAUUCGUAGAUAUUAGGAAGAACACCAGUGGCGAAGGCGGCUCACUGGCCCGGAACUGACGCUGAUGUGCGAAAGCGUGGGGAGCAAACAGGAUUAGAUACCCCAGUAGUCC
RNAcentral lists this ribosomal RNA (744 nucleotides) under uncultured bacterium. RNAcentral's name for it is "bacterial SSU rRNA". It matches the Rfam family "Bacterial small subunit ribosomal RNA", at positions 8 to 796 of the family's 1533-position model. The record is from RNAcentral.